RNAcentral lists this ribosomal RNA (640 nucleotides) under uncultured Actinomycetes bacterium. RNAcentral's name for it is "bacterial SSU rRNA". It matches the Rfam family "Bacterial small subunit ribosomal RNA", at positions 232 to 883 of the family's 1533-position model. Lineage: Bacteria; Bacillati; Actinomycetota; Actinomycetes. The record is from RNAcentral.
CGCGGCCUAUCAGCUUGUUGGUGGGGUGAUGGCCUACCAAGGCGACGACGGGUAGCCGGCCUGAGAGGGUGUCCGGCCACACUGGGACUGAGACACGGCCCAGACUCCUACGGGAGGCACCAAUGGGGAAUAUUGCACAAUGGGCGGAAGCCUGAUGCAGCGACGCCGCGUGAGGGAUGACGGCCUUCGGGUUGUAGACCUCUUUCACCAAGGACGAAGCGGGAGUGACGGUACUUGGGGAAGAAGCACCGGCUAACUACGUGCCAGCAGCCGCGGUAAUACGUAGGGUGCGAGCGUUGUCCGGAAUUAUUGGGCGUAAAGAGCUCGUAGGCGGCUCGUUGCGUCUACCGUGAAAACUGGAGGCUUAACCUUCAGCUUGCGGUGGAUACGGGCGGGCUUGAGUUCGGUAGGGGAGACAGGAAUUCCUGGUGUAGCGGUGAAAUGCGCAGAUAUCAGGAGGAACACCGGUGGCGAAGGCAGGUCUCUGGGCCGAUACUGACGCUGAGGAGCGAAAGCGUGGGGAGCGAACAGGAUUAGAUACCCUGGAAGUCCGCGCUGUAAACGUUGGGCGCUAGGUGUGGGUGACAUCCACGUUGUCCGUGCCGUAGCUAACGCAUUAAGCGCCCCGCCUGGGGAGUAC